CCUACGGGAGGCAGCAGUGAGGAAUAUUGGUCAAUGGACGAGAGUCUGAACCAGCCAAGUAGCGUGAAGGAUGACUUCCCUAUGGAUUGUAAACUUCUUUUAUAAAGGAAUAAAACGAGGCACGUGUGCCUUUUUGCAUGUACUUUAUGAUUCAGGAUCGGCUAAUUCCGUGCCAGCAGCCGCGGUAAUACGGAGGAUCCGAGCGUUAUCCGGAGUUAUUGGGUUUAAAGGGAGCGUAGAUGGGUUGUUAAGUCCGUUGUGAAAGGUGGCGGCUCAACCGUAAAAUUGCAAUUGAUACUGGCAGUCUUGAGUACAGUUGAGGUAGGCGGAAUUCGUGGUGUAGCGGUGAAAUGCUUAGAUAUCACGAAGAACCCCGAUUCCGAAGGCAGCUUACUAAACUGUGACUGACAUUGAUGCUCGAAAGUGUGGGUAUCAAACAGGAUUAGAUACCCCUGUAGUC
RNAcentral lists this ribosomal RNA (460 nucleotides) under uncultured bacterium. RNAcentral's name for it is "partial 16S ribosomal RNA". It matches the Rfam family "Bacterial small subunit ribosomal RNA", at positions 338 to 795 of the family's 1533-position model. The record is from RNAcentral.